AACGCACGAGACCUGCGGACCUGCGGAGGGAUCAUUAUCGAGUGGAAAAAACUGGCCUUUUGCGGGAAGGGUGGAUUUAGUUGCUGGCGUUGCGGCGCAGGUGCACUUCCCCAUCCCCGGCCACACUCCAAUCUUCAUAACUUCUCUCACACACCGUGCAUCUGUUUGUAGGGGCACGCGCGUCAAGCGUGACUAUUCCCCUAUGUAUGGUUAAUUUUACACCAAAGUUGCUUGGAACGU
This 240-nucleotide unclassified non-coding RNA is filed under the name soil metagenome. Its description in RNAcentral is "partial contains 5.8S ribosomal RNA, internal transcribed spacer 2, and large subunit ribosomal RNA". The record is from RNAcentral.